Panicum hallii is the source of this 98-nucleotide small nucleolar RNA. RefSeq annotates it as small nucleolar RNA snoR31. NCBI's taxonomy places the organism in Eukaryota, Viridiplantae, Streptophyta, Magnoliopsida, Poales, Poaceae. The record is from RefSeq and is a predicted model, not a curated record. The transcript has a single exon.
UGGAUAGUGAAGAUCAAUUGAUGCAUAAUCCAACACUUGAUCCGAUGCCGGCAUGUGCCGUGCGAAUGAUGCACAAACUUCUUUGCAUCUGAAUCCAU